AGGAGGAAGACACGGAAGCAGCGCCGUGGGUUGAACCCGCGAGAGUGGAAGAGCUCCGGAGAUCGAUGCACCUUGCGAGAGAAUAAGACCUGCAAGCAAGGCAACUGCAAUGAAGCAUCAAGAAAGACAUGAACAUGCCAGCCACCCUGAGACUGAUAAUUCAUGAGAAGACAUUCUGUCACUAACAAAGUGGAUGGUGAGCAAAGAUGGUUGCCACGUUUUGGAGCAGCACCUGGGUUAUGCAGAUGGCUAUGUAUUUUUGUGAGGAUAAAUCCAGAGGAUACAACAUAAUGCACUGCAAAACGUCCUAAGACAGGAGAAAUGGUGAAGAUGCACUGUUCCAGCAACGGAAGACUGUAUUUUUAAGUGUUAUACAUGCAAUGUUUUAAAUAAAGAAUUUGAUAUUUUGUAAUUAUUGUGUCUGUUUUAAUUGAAUGCCAGUAGUACCUAUGUAGAGUACAAAUAAAAUGAAUUCUAUAUCAAAAUUAUAAAAUCUAAUGAAAUCUAUAUUAAAAUGAAUGAAUUACAGUAGUAUACUGAUUAAUUGGAUUAUUUUUACAGUAAUUUAGUGUAAAACAGUACAGUUUGCAACUGUAAAUCAAAUACAGUUUGCUGCUGUAAAUCGUAAUUACAGUAACUUUA
Molecule: long non-coding RNA, 642 nt
Organism: Onychostoma macrolepis
Lineage: Eukaryota; Metazoa; Chordata; Actinopteri; Cypriniformes; Cyprinidae
Exons: 3
Source: RefSeq, a predicted model, not a curated record